RNAcentral lists this ribosomal RNA (457 nucleotides) under uncultured bacterium. Its description in RNAcentral is "SSU rRNA". It matches the Rfam family "Bacterial small subunit ribosomal RNA", at positions 26 to 518 of the family's 1533-position model. The record is from RNAcentral.
AGGACGAACGCUGGCGGCGUGCCUAAUGCAUGCAAGUCGCACGCAGGAGCUUCGGCUCCUGAGUGGCGCACGGCUGAGGAACACGUGGGAAACGGCCCUUCGGUGGGGGACAACCCGGCGAAAGCCAGGCUAAUCCCGCAUACGCUCUGCGGAGGAAAGCAGUAAUGCGCCGAAGAACGUGCCCGCGGCCCAUCAGGUAGUUGGCGGGGUAACGGCCCACCAAGCCGGUGACGGGUUGCUGGUCUGUGAGGACGACCAGCCAGACUGGGACUGAGACACGGCCCAGACUCCUACGGGAGGCAGCAGUGGGGAAUAUUGCGCAAUGGGCGAAAGCCUGACGCAGCGACGCCGCGUGAGGGAUGAAGGCCUUCGGGUUGUAAACCUCUUUCAGCAGGGACGAAGCGAAAGUGACGGUACCUGCAGAAGAAGCACCGGCUAACUACGCGCCAGCAGCCGC